CCUUCCGUGUGUAGUGAGUCCCAACCUCCUCAUUGUAUACCGUAUGACUUAUUAGCAUGUUUGUCAUUACAGUCCAUUGAUGAACUGUCAAAUAGAAUGAUUUGUAAUCAGUUGGAGUACUUUAUAGAUAGUAGUUAAUUUGCAUGAUGAUGAGAGUUAUACAACGGUAGUACCGGCAGUGUCCAAAAUAGCCGGUUAGGGAAUUCGCAUCUCGGAGAGCAAGUCCUGAGACUAUAAUGUAAGUUAUUUAGUGUACUGUACUGUGAAUUAUUAUAAUAAAUUGAAUUCGUUGCAGUCUUGAAGCUGCAGAUACAGUGAGCUGCUAUCGAGAAGUUUCACUCUUUCCCGAGAAAGUUGCGUCCCCUAACAAACUUCAAGAAUUAUAUCUUACCUGAGUCGAGGUAGAUAUGGAUUCCAACGGUAGAUGCGCCACCCGUAACGAACGGAUAAAGCUACGGCUAAAAUUGUUAGAAGAGCGGCACCUACAAAGUAUGGUACAGUAUGAAGAAGCCAUUCGUCACUCACAAGAGCAAUAUGCGCGGAGCUUGGAGCAGAUCGAGCAAGCAACAAAGGAAGCCGCUAAAAAACUCGGGGAACACCGUAGAAGUAAGAGGAGUGCUAAGGUUAUGGAGCAUUGCAGGGAAGAUGUCGGCGAAGUUAUGCCAGUUGCGCACGAUUCGUUGAGUGACAGACCCCUGCCUGAGUAUACCUGCGGUCCUUCUCCACUAGUCGAUGGAAUAAGACCGAGCCACCAUUACUCGACCCAAAAAGUCGUUCAGUCAAGUAGGGCCUUACACACCACGGCGACCACUGAGGAUGUUGAAUUGGCUCUACGUCAGAUGUCAACUCAAGAAGUCGUGAGGAAGUUACACUAUGAAAAUGUUAAGCUUCGUAGUAAGGAGCAGGCUACAGUACAGCCAGUAAAUCCAGCCACAGCCUACUUCAGAUGGAGUUUUUCCAAUACGGUUGUAUAUGAUCCAAUAAGCGAUUCUGAUGAAAUUUUCAUCCCGUCACAAUCCAAUUGUUUCCCCUCCGUGGCCCGAACAGAAGAAGCGAACACAGCGACCACAAAAGUUUUUCAGCUAGAUGUGUGUCCAAAGCUUAAAGUAGUGGUCAAUAAGCAAAGGAAGCAUUCAGUUUGGACCCUUUGGAAGUACGAUAAAACCAAAAGGCUGUUUUAUGGAUAUGUAAUCUCAAAACUAUCGAGGAUUGACAAUCGAAACAUUAACUAUGGAUUAUUGGCUGGUAGGGGGGCAUGGAAAACCAAUACCAUACCGGUCACUCAAGUAGCCAGCGAAUUUAAUAAUGACUACGCCAAUACAAAGCCAACUUGCUACAACCAUCUGCCAGAACACUAUACUUCGAAAUCUCGCAUGUACAAGAGAGAACCAAUACGAAAAACAGUUACUAUACGCCAUGUAUCAUCUACAUACACAUCAUCCAGAUGUACAACAGACGGUUUAGUACCAAUAGUCGUUUUCGUAAACAGCUUCGUACGCCUACGAGAAAAUGGCCGAGUAUUGGAGUUUGAAGUAGUGGACUGUAUUUCAAGAGAAGGUUAUAAUCUACUAAGAAGCACUGAAGGUUCGGGAUUCGAUCCGGGUGGAUCGAAUAUUAGUACACAGUUACAAACACAACGCAUUAUGUCUGAGAGGGGAUUGGCUCUUGCGAUGCAGAUCAAGCUUUUUGGGAUCAUGUGUGAUUCUGUAUCAACACCGAUUUGUAUGGGUAGCCGAUACGAGAGCAUUUUGUUGCGAUGGGAGAUUGAUAACAACGAUAAUUCCGAGGGAGAACGAGAGCGUACUACUACAGCAUCGAUGUUCAUGGUUCACAGCAACGGGUUACAUCUCGGAAUAGAGAAGCGAUGCCAUAGUGUGUACGAUAGUUGCCGUUCCAUCGAAACAGCUGUUCUAUGUAGAAACGAAUACUGUAUGGCUAAUAGAAAAUUCAGUAUCCUGCAAAUGUGGUUAUUCAGAGCCGAACUGUCAAUGAAUCCAGCAAUAUUUGCGAUCUUGUUUUCGGUUCAGAUGGUUCUUCUACAUUCCCACUGGAAAGGUGAUCAGUAUAUGGGUCUCGAAUUAUUAAUUUUAUUAGAGUAAAACCUGUUGGGUACUAUUACGAAAUGAUGUGUAUGGGAAUCCAAACAUCGGAUCAUUCAGACCUCUAAAGUUUAAGUUAAAAGAUGGUUCAAAGGAAAUCUUUGUGAAAUCAUCUGCUUACAUACUUAGGAAUAGGUUAAAGAUUCUACACCAUGUUUACAGAAAUCAUAAGAACAAAUUUCGUCCAGCUUCUAUACGUAAAGGCAAUGACAAAGUUGGGACUACACGGGUGGGGGUAUGUUGGAAAUUACACAGCGAUUUCCUUCCGUGUGUAGUGAGUCCCAACCUCCUCAUUGUAUACCGUAUGACUUAUUAGCAUGUUUGUCAUUACAGUCCAUUGAUGAACUGUCAAAUAGAAUGAUUUGUAAUCAGUUGGAGUACUUUAUAGAUAGUAGUUAAUUUGCAUGAUGAUGAGAGUUAUACAACGGUAGUACCGGCAGUGUCCAAAAUAGCCGGUUAGGGAAUUCGCAUCUCGGAGAGCAAGUCCUGAGACUAUAAUUCUUGAAGCUGCAGAUACAGUGAGCUGCUAUCGAGAAGUUUCACUCUUUCCCGAGAAAGUUGCGUCCC
Molecule: RNA transcript, 2666 nt
Organism: Aedes aegypti (yellow fever mosquito)
Lineage: Eukaryota; Metazoa; Arthropoda; Insecta; Diptera; Culicidae
Exons: 2
Source: RefSeq, a predicted model, not a curated record